UACAGAGGGGGCAAGCGUUAUUCGGAAUUAUUGGGCGUAAAGGGCGCGUAGGCGGCAUGGCAAGUGGAUGGUGAAAUCCCUCGGCUUAACCGAGGAACUGCCGUCCAAACUGCUUCGCUUGAGACCGGGAGAGGUGAGUGGAAUUCCCAGUGUAGCGGUGAAAUGCGUAGAUAUUGGGAGGAACACCAGUGGCGAAAGCGGCUUCCUGGUCCGACACCGACGUUCAGGCACGAAAGCGUGGGGAGCAAACAGG
This 253-nucleotide ribosomal RNA is filed under the name uncultured bacterium. Its description in RNAcentral is "partial 16S ribosomal RNA". It matches the Rfam family "Bacterial small subunit ribosomal RNA", at positions 524 to 776 of the family's 1533-position model. The record is from RNAcentral.